GAUGAACGCUGGCGGCGUGCCUAAUACAUGCAAGUCGAGCGAACAGGCGAGGAGCUUGCUCCUCUGACGUUAGCGGCGGACGGGUGAGUAACACGUGGAUAACCUACCUAUAAGACUGGGAUAACUUCGGGAAACCGGAGCUAAUACCGGAUAAUAUAUUGAACCGCAUGGUUCAAUAGUGAAAGACGGUUUUGCUGUCACUUAUAGAUGGAUCCGCGCCGCAUUAGCUAGUUGGUAAGGUAACGGCUUGCCAAGGCAACGAUGCGUAGCCGACCUGAGAGGGUGAUAGGCCACACUGGAACUGGGACGCGGUCCAGGCUCCUACGGGAGGCAGCAGUAGGGAAUCUUCCGCAAUGGGCGAAAGCCUGACGGAGCAACGCCGCGUGAGUGAUGAAGGUCUUCGGAUCGUAAAACUCUGUUAUUAGGGAAGAACAAAUGUGUAAGUAACUAUGCACGUCUUGACGGUACCUAAUCAGAAAGCAACGGCUAACUACGUG
Molecule: ribosomal RNA, 497 nt
Filed under: uncultured bacterium
Lineage: Bacteria
Description: partial 16S ribosomal RNA
Rfam family: Bacterial small subunit ribosomal RNA
Source: RNAcentral